GCGUUUCUGCCGCGCUCGUGAGCGGCCUCCAAUAAAUGAUCCUAGUCAAUGUCAUGGGACCUGACUCGAUUUCGCUCCGGUGAGCAAGCUCCGGCAGGAAACUGCCAUGGAGAAGCCUGAAGGGGCGCGGAGGGUUCCGCCCUGGAAGUUUAAGGGUCAAAUGACGGGGGUUGUAACGGCGAUGGCGGUGCGUU
Molecule: non-coding RNA, 194 nt
Filed under: Terriglobia bacterium
Lineage: Bacteria; Pseudomonadati; Acidobacteriota; Terriglobia
Description: 6S RNA
Rfam family: 6S / SsrS RNA
About the family: E. coli 6S RNA was the first non coding RNA to be sequenced, but its function was unknown until recently. It consists of 184 nucleotides that fold into an extended hairpin structure with a large single-stranded internal bulge.
Source: RNAcentral